UACGGGGGGAACGAGCGUUGUUCGGAUUUACUGGGUGUAAAGGGCACGCAGGCGGGAAGACAAGUCUGAUGUGCAAACCCGGGGCUUAACCGCGGGCCUGCAUUGGAAACUGUUUUUCUUGAGUACGAGAGAGGAUGGCGGAAUUCCUGGUGUAGCGGUGAAAUGCGUAGAUAUCAGGAAGAACACCGGUGGCGAAGGCGGCCAUCUGGCUCGAUACUGACGCUCAGGUGCGAAGGCUAGGGGAGCAAACAGG
Molecule: ribosomal RNA, 253 nt
Filed under: uncultured bacterium
Lineage: Bacteria
Description: partial 16S ribosomal RNA
Rfam family: Bacterial small subunit ribosomal RNA
Source: RNAcentral